Molecule: ribosomal RNA, 293 nt
Filed under: uncultured bacterium
Lineage: Bacteria
Description: partial 16S ribosomal RNA
Rfam family: Bacterial small subunit ribosomal RNA
Source: RNAcentral
GGAUUAGAUACCCUGGUAGUCCACGCCGUAAACGGUGGGUACUAGGUGUGGGUUUCCUUCCUUGGGAUCCGUGCCGUAGCUAACGCAUUAAGUACCCCGCCUGGGGAGUACGGUCGCAAGACUAAAACUCAAAGGAAUUGACGGGGGCCCGCACAAGCGGCGGAGCAUGUGGAUUAAUUCGAUGCAACGCGAAGAACCUUACCUGGGUUUGACAUGCGCAGGACGUAUCUAGAGAUAGGUAUUCCCUUGUGGCCUGCGUGCAGGUGGUGCAUGGCUGUCGUCAGCUCGUGUCG